Gorilla gorilla gorilla (western lowland gorilla) is the source of this 3798-nucleotide long non-coding RNA. RefSeq lists it as uncharacterized. The record is from RefSeq and is a predicted model, not a curated record. NCBI's taxonomy places the organism in Eukaryota, Metazoa, Chordata, Mammalia, Primates, Hominidae. The transcript has 21 exons.
UUAGGGUCAGGGCCCGGGGCCCAGGGUUAGGGUGAUUUCCAGGAAGUGACCUCACAACGACUCAAGCUACCACUUACUGUUGAUUGUGAUGAAAUGCCAGCUGAGGCACACGCCUUGGGAGCUAAGUGGUUGCUGCCCUUGACUACUAUGAAGACUGGUGUGGGAAGGGUCGCUUUGGAUGCACUUGAGCAGGGGUCCCCAACCCCUGAGCCAUGGAGCCGUAAGGAGCCACACAGCAGGUGGGACCAUCCAGUUUCAGGAAAACAAGCUUAACACGCCCACUGAUUCUACAUUAUGCUCCUACCUCCCGGCAGCCUCGCCAGGCCCAGAACUCUCUCCAGUCAGCCUCUACAGACCAAGCUCAUGACUCACAAUGGCCUAUUUAGGCCCAUACCCUACCUCACGGCAGUCUCCGCAGAUGAGCCUACUGCCUCACAACAGCCUCCACAGGCACAGCUCCGUCGUUACAAUGGCCUCUUUAGACCCAGCUCCUGCCUCCCAGCCUUCUCUCCAGGCCCUGAACUUUCUCCGUGGGACCAUCCAGUUUCAGGAAAACAAGCUUAACACGCCCACUGAUUCUACAUUAUGCUCCUACCUCCCGGCAGCCUCGCCAGGCCCAGAACUCUCUCCAGUCAGCCUCUACAGACCAAGCUCAUGACUCACAAUGGCCUAUUUAGGCCCAUACCCUACCUCAUGGCAGUCUCCGCAGAUGAGCCUACUGCCUCACAACAGCCUCCACAGGCACAGCUCCGUCGUUACAAUGGCCUCUUUAGACCCAGCUCCUGCCUCCCAGCCUUCUCUCCAGGCCCUGAACUUUCUCCGGUCUCCCUCUGUUGUCCAAGGCUGGAGUGUAGUAGUGCUAUCACAGCUGACCACAGCCUCAACCUUCCAGGCUGAAGCGAUCCUCCCACCUCAACCUCCCACGUGGCUGAGACUACAGGUGCUUGCCACUAUGCCCAACUAAUAUUUGGAAUUUUCGUAUACGUGGAUUCCAGAGGGGUGACAGCGAAACGUGAGUGGGACCAUCCAGUUUCAGGAAAACAAGCUUAACACACCCACUGAUUCUACAUUAUGCUCCUACCUCCCGGCAGCCUCGCCAGGCCCAGAACUCUCUCCAGUCAGCCUCUACAGACCAAGCUCAUGACUCACAAUGGCCUAUUUAGGCCCAUACCCUACCUCACGGCAGUCUCCGCAGAUGAGCCUACUGCCUCACAACAGCCUCCACAGGCACAGCUCCGUCGUUACAAUGGCCUCUUUAGACCCAGCUCCUGCCUCCCAGCCUUCUCUCCAGGCCCUGAACUUUCUCCGUGGGACCAUCCAGUUUCAGGAAAACAAGCUUAACACGCCCACUGAUUCUACAUUAUGCUCCUACCUCCCGGCAGCCUCGCCAGGCCCAGAACUCUCUCCAGUCAGCCUCUACAGACCAAGCUCAUGACUCACAAUGGCCUAUUUAGGCCCAUACCCUACCUCACGGCAGUCUCCGCAGAUGAGCCUACUGCCUCACAACAGCCUCCACAGGCACAGCUCCGUCGUUACAAUGGCCUCUUUAGACCCAGCUCCUGCCUCCCAGCCUUCUCUCCAGGCCCUGAAGUUUCUCCGUGGGACCAUCCAGUUUCAGGAAAACAAGCUUAACACGCCCACUGAUUCUACAUUAUGCUCCUACCUCCCGGCAGCCUCGCCAGGCCCAGAACUCUCUCCAGUCAGCCUCUACAGACCAAGCUCAUGACUCACAAUGGCCUAUUUAGGCCCAUACCCUACCUCACGGCAGUCUCCGCAGAUGAGCCUACUGCCUCACAACAGCCUCCACAGGCACAGCUCCGUCGUUACAAUGGCCUCUUUAGACCCAGCUCCUGCCUCCCAGCCUUCUCUCCAGGCCCUGAAGUUUCUCCGUGGGACCAUCCAGUUUCAGGAAAACAAGCUUAACACGCCCACUGAUUCUACAUUAUGCUCCUACCUCCCGGCAGCCUCGCCAGGCCCAGAACUCUCUCCAGUCAGCCUCUACAGACCAAGCUCAUGACUCACAAUGGCCUAUUUAGGCCCAUACCCUACCUCACGGCAGUCUCCGCAGAUGAGCCUACUGCCUCACAACAGCCUCCACAGGCACAGCUCCAUCGUUACAAUGGCCUCUUUAGACCCAGCUCCUGCCUCCCAGCCUUCUCUCCAGGCCCUGAAGUUUCUCCGUGGGACCAUCCAGUUUCAGGAAAACAAGCUUAACACGCCCACUGAUUCUACAUUAUGCUCCUACCUCCCGGCAGCCUCGCCAGGCCCAGAACUCUCUCCAGUCAGCCUCUACAGACCAAGCUCAUGACUCACAAUGGCCUAUUUAGGCCCAUACCCUACCUCACGGCAGUCUCCGCAGAUGAGCCUACUGCCUCACAACAGCCUCCACAGGCACAGCUCCGUCGUUACAAUGGUCUCUUUAGACCCAGCUCCUGCCUCCCAGCCUUCUCUCCAGGCCCUGAAGUUUCUCCGUGGGACCAUCCAGUUUCAGGAAAACAAGCUUAACACGCCCACUGAUUCUACAUUAUGCUCCUACCUCCCGGCAGCCUUGCCAGGCCCAGAACUCUCUCCAGUCAGCCUCUACAGACCAAGCUCAUGACUCACAAUGGCCUAUUUAGGCCCAUACCCUACCUCACGGCAGUCUCCGCAGAUGAGCCUACUGCCUCACAACAGCCUCCACAGGCACAGCUCCGUCGUUACAAUGGCCUCUUUAGACCCAGCUCCUGCCUCCCAGCCUUCUCUCCAGGCCCUGAAGUUUCUCCGGUCUCCCUCUGUUGUCCGAGGCUGGAGGGUAGUAGUGCUAUCGCAGCUGACUGCAGCCUCAACCUUCCAGGCUGAAGCGAUCCUCCCAUCUCAACCUCCCACGUGGCUGAGACUACAGGUGCUUGCCACUACGCCCAACUAAUAUUUGGUAUUUUCGUACACGUGGAUUCCAGAGGGGUGACAGCGAAACGUGGGACCAUCCAGUUUCAGGAAAACAAGCUUAACACGCCCACUGAUUCUACAUUAUGAUUCUUCAGGCCCAGCAUCUGCCUCACUGUGGACCCCCCAAGCCAAGCUCCCAACCUUUCAGCAGCUUCUACACACCCAGCUCCCGCCUGCCAGUGGCCUCUUCAGGCCCAUGGGGCUCAUUCCUCACAACAGCCUUUCCAGUCCCAGUUUUUCCCUUCCGGCGGCCUCUCCGGGCUGAGAACCUCCUCAAGUCGGCCUCUCCAGACUCACUUGCACCCUCCAGGCGUCCUCUCCGGGCCAAGCUCCUCUUCCUGGCUGCGUCUCCAGGCCUGACUCCUGCCUCUCAACAACCUCUUUGGACUCAGUGCCUACCCAUCUCCUGGCGUCCUUGGUCGGCCCACAGCUUCCUCAAGCCAAGCUCCCCAGGCCCAGGUCAGGCCUCACGGUGCCCCCUCCACGAUGAGCUCCUGCCCUCCAAUGGCACCUGCAGGACCCAAAUGGUCUCCGGUCGGUGGGCUCCUCCACGCCAAGCUUGGGCCUCCCGGUGACCUCUGCAGGCCCAAGUUGUCCUGAAGUCGGCAUCUCCCAGCCAUGCCUCCCAGCAAGUAAGCAAGCUCUUUUGGCUCAACUCCUGCCCAGCUCCCAACCGCCUUUGUAGGUCCCGAACUUUCUCCAGCCAAGUUCUUUGGGCCUCAUUCCUGCUGCCCGGUGGCCUGUACGGGCCCAGCAAUGGUUGGAGAACGGCCUCUGCAGGUCCCGCUCUUGCCUCCCAGGGGCCUCUCCAGGCCCAGCUCUUGCCCCCACGGCGGCCACCUGGGGCCAAGUCCCUGCCUGCCUCCCAGCAGC